This 66-nucleotide transfer RNA is filed under the name Dipodomys ordii (Ord's kangaroo rat). It matches the Rfam family "tRNA". From Rfam's summary of the family: Transfer RNA (tRNA) molecules are approximately 80 nucleotides in length. Their secondary structure includes four short double-helical elements and three loops (D, anti-codon, and T loops). The record is from Rfam by way of RNAcentral. Lineage: Eukaryota; Metazoa; Chordata; Mammalia; Rodentia; Heteromyidae.
AGUUGGCUCAGUGGUAGAGUGCUUGCCUUGUAUGCAAGAGGCCCUGAGUUCAAGUCCUCAGCACUA